This 78-nucleotide microRNA precursor is filed under the name Schistosoma haematobium. RNAcentral's name for it is "mir-3492 microRNA precursor family". It matches the Rfam family "mir-3492 microRNA precursor family". The record is from Rfam by way of RNAcentral. Lineage: Eukaryota; Metazoa; Platyhelminthes; Trematoda; Strigeidida; Schistosomatidae.
AGCUUUUCGAAUCCGUGCAGAGAUUUCAUCAGACACCAACCCAUUAGGUCUGAGCAGACUUCCAAGAUAAGUGUUGUC